Molecule: ribosomal RNA, 1250 nt
Filed under: Apophylia sp. REN-2018
Lineage: Eukaryota; Metazoa; Arthropoda; Insecta; Coleoptera; Chrysomelidae
Description: large subunit ribosomal RNA
Rfam family: Archaeal large subunit ribosomal RNA (bases 1040-1198)
Source: RNAcentral
AAAUUUAUAUUUAUUAAAUUUUUUAGUUAAAAUAUAAAUAUUUGAAAUAUAAAAAUUUUUAUUAAAUUAAGGAAAAAAUUUUAUUAAUUAUAGUUAAAUUGUAUUGAAAAAGAAAAUAUAAUAUUAGAUAAAAGAAAAAUUAAUUUUUUGUACCUUGUGCAUCAGGGUUUAUUAAAUAAAAAUUAUAAAUUUAAUAUUCUCGAAUUUAAAAGAUCUAAAAAAUUAAAAUUUUUAUUGUAAAAUAAAUAUUUUAAAUAAUUUUUUAGUAAUGAAAUGUUAUUCGUUUUUAAAUAUAUCUAGUUUUUUAAGAAAUAAAUUUAAUUUAUUUAUUAUUAAUAUAUUUAUAUUUAAAUAUUAAUAUAUUAUUAAUAGAAAAUGUUUUUAGGGAUGAGCUUAAAAAUAAAUUAUUAGUAGAAAAUUAAAUAAUAUAUUAAAAAUUAGGAUUAAAAUUUUUCAUAUUUUAAAGUAUGUUAUAAUUUAUUUUAUAAAAUUAUUAUUUAUAUAUUCUAUAAAUUUUUUAUUAAAAUAUAAAUUUAAAUUUUUAAAAUUUAGUAAUAAUGAUAAAAUUAGUAUAUAAAUUUAUAUUUUAUAAAUAUAGGAUUUAGGUUAAUAAAAGGAAUUCGGCAAAAAUUUUUUCACCUGUUUAUUAAAAACAUGUCUUUUUGUAAUAAAUUUAAGGUCUAGCCUGCCCACUGAUAUUUUGAAUGGCCGCAGUAUUUUGACUGUGCUAAGGUAGCAUAAUCAUUAGUUUUUUAAUUGAAAGCUGGAAUGAAGGGUUGGAUGAAAAAAAAACUGUCUCUUAUUAAUUUUUAUAAAAUUUUAUUUUUAAGUUAAAAAGCUUAAAUAAUAUUAAAAGACGAGAAGACCCUAUAGAGUUUAAAAAUUGAAUUUAAUUUUAUUAUUUAGUAUUUAUACAUUAAAUUGAUUUAAUUUUUUAAUUGGGGUGAUUAAAAAAUUUAAUAAACUUUUUUUAUAUUUUUAUAUUGAUAUAUGAAUAAUUGAUCCAAUUAUUUUGAUUAUAAGAUUAAAUUACCUUAGGGAUAACAGCGUAAUUUUAUUAGAGAGUUCAAAUCGAUAAUAAAGAUUGCGACCUCGAUGUUGGAUUAAAAUUUAUAAUUGGUGUAGAAGCUAUAUUAUUAAGUCUGUUCGACUUUUAAAAUUUUACAUGAUCUGAGUUUAAACCGGUGUAAGCCAGGUUGGUUUCUAUCUUUAAUUAAUUAAUUUAUUUUAGUACGAAAGGACCAAAUAAA